RNAcentral lists this ribosomal RNA (253 nucleotides) under uncultured bacterium. Its description in RNAcentral is "partial 16S ribosomal RNA". It matches the Rfam family "Bacterial small subunit ribosomal RNA", at positions 524 to 776 of the family's 1533-position model. The record is from RNAcentral.
UACAGAGGUCUCAAGCGUUGUUCGGAUUUAUUGGGCGUAAAGGGUGCGUAGGCCGCAUGGUAAGUCUGGUGUGAAAUCCUGGAGCUCAACUCCAGAAUUGCACUGGAUACUGCCGUGCUAGAGGACUGGAGAGGAGAUUGGAAUUCACGGUGUAGCAGUGAAAUGCGUAGAUAUCGUGAGGAAGACCAGUGGCGAAGGCGAAUCUCUGGACAGUUCCUGACGCUGAGGCACGAAGGCCAGGGGAGCAAACGGG